This 403-nucleotide long non-coding RNA is filed under the name Daphnia pulex (common water flea). RNAcentral's name for it is "uncharacterized LOC124209573, transcript variant X1". The record is from RNAcentral. Lineage: Eukaryota; Metazoa; Arthropoda; Branchiopoda; Diplostraca; Daphniidae.
CGGUCUACUUCCGGAAAAUUUGCAUUAAACUAGCAAGUGAGCUUUAUUCUCUGUACAAUUCUUAAGACUUCUUGCCAAGUUAAGUAAACAGAAAUGGUCUUUUUGAUUACUUUUGUGACUUGUUUGACUAUCUAAGGCCGGUCCUUUAGAUAGUGGGUUUUGGACGUGUCAAAUAGAUGGCGUGAAAUAUUGUGUUGAUAUGUGCUUAUGGCGGCUCGUUGUCAACAGUUCAGCUACAGCUAUUUUCUUCAAAAAUUACCGCUGAAUUCGUUGGAGAAAAUGUGAAAGGGGCAUGCAGGCUACUGUCAACUAUUGUGUUGUAAAUCCUGGGAUCCCACUGAAUGUGUCAUCCAAAUGACAGAGGAUUCAUCAUAAUUAUCGACUGAUUCUUUUAGACUUGCUA